CGUGGGGGCGAGCUUGCUCGCGAUAGCGGUUUGCCUGUGACAUCAACGCCAGACAGAUUGCAAUCGCGGGCAAGCUCGCUCCCACA
This 86-nucleotide unclassified non-coding RNA is filed under the name Pseudomonas sp. 7SR1. The record is from RNAcentral. Lineage: Bacteria; Pseudomonadati; Pseudomonadota; Gammaproteobacteria; Pseudomonadales; Pseudomonadaceae.